CGUUGAAACAGCAGUUCCUGUAUGAUCACCGAAGUUAAGCAAUAUUGAGACUGUUCAGUACCUAAAUGGGUGACUGCUUGAAAAUACCAGGUGCUGUA
Non-coding RNA from Acanthosepion pharaonis, 98 nucleotides. The record is from the annotation of a GenBank genome assembly. Lineage: Eukaryota; Metazoa; Mollusca; Cephalopoda; Sepiida; Sepiidae.